This is a non-coding RNA of Pelobates cultripes (western spadefoot toad), 207 nucleotides long. The record is from the annotation of a GenBank genome assembly. Lineage: Eukaryota; Metazoa; Chordata; Amphibia; Anura; Pelobatidae.
AGAAAAUGGGGUGGAACAGCGCUACAGUACUGAUCACAGGGGGAAUGAAGCUGCACACCUGAGGGGAAGGACAACCCUCAAACCCUUCAACAAAUCUGGGAGAACAGGAAAAGUAGUACAAUGAGAGAUAAUAUACACAGAAACAAGGAAGUACAAAAAGUCUCUGAAAAUGCAGUGUGGACCUUGGAUAGGUAUUCUUUGGUUCUU